This 909-nucleotide ribosomal RNA is filed under the name Triticum aestivum (bread wheat). Its description in RNAcentral is "partial small subunit ribosomal RNA". Lineage: Eukaryota; Viridiplantae; Streptophyta; Magnoliopsida; Poales; Poaceae. The record is from RNAcentral.
AUGGCCAGUCUGCUGGACGGCGACGAUACCAACGGCAAUAGAAGGAUGUUUCCGAGGGUUAAUGGUACAUCUCCAAAAAUGCCGGCUAAUGAUGUGAGGAAAAUAAAGAAGAGGAUUUCACAGAGGAUGCAAAGGACGGGGAGUAUGCCACAGAGGAUGCAAAGGACGAUGAGUGUGCCACAAAGGAAGCAAAGGGCGAUGAGUUUGCAGCCUAUAAGCGAGCUGUUGUUGGACGUGAUGGUGUGGGAGAUCUUAAUCCGGCUGCCCGUAGAGUCCCUGGUGAGGUUUAAGUUGGUUAGCAAGGCCUGGUACGCUAUCAUCUCCGACCCUGUUUUUGUUCGUGCGCACCUCCAGUGCUCCAAAGAGAAACAACAUCGCAACCCGUCUUCCUUCCUCGUCACCCCCCAGAUUUAUCUGGAACCAAAUCCUUCCGGUCUUUUCUCCACCAACAUCCGUUUCUACCUGUGGUCUUUACAACAAGAUGACAUGAGCAGGAGCAGUAGUAGUGCAACACUCCUUUAUGGGAGGCAGUUCCCCACUGGUGAGUUUGGGCUGGUGUCCCAAAUGGCACACUGUGAUGGAUUGGUGUUGCUCCCCACAAACACCAACACUUAUGUCUUCAACCCAGCAACUAGAGAUGUUGUUGCGCUGCCCAGGUGCCACCGCAAUAUGUUGCAGCAUCCCAGCUGCCUUCCAAUUGGUUUGGGCCUUGAUGUUUCCACUGGAACAUACAAGGUUGCACGGUCUUUCUACCGUUCCGGUGAUUACAGUUCUGUUGCAAUGGGGAUGGAGGUCUUCACUAUUAAUGGUGAAGAGGGCCACUGGAGGGAAACGUUGCUGGAUCCACCAUACCCUAUUGUGUGUCCGCAAACUGCCAUACACUGCAAGGGUUCCCUGUUCUAUUCAUAG